Carya illinoinensis is the source of this 1507-nucleotide long non-coding RNA. RefSeq lists it as uncharacterized. The transcript is spliced from 2 exons. NCBI's taxonomy places the organism in Eukaryota, Viridiplantae, Streptophyta, Magnoliopsida, Fagales, Juglandaceae. The record is from RefSeq and is a predicted model, not a curated record.
UGCUCUCUCUCACUUUCUCUCAUCUACUCUAUCUCUCGCUCUGAUCUCUAUCUCUCUCGUGCUCUCACUGCUUAAUGCUCUAACUUAAGGCCAACAGUGAAGCCCUUAGUUUUUGCAGCUGUCUCUCUCAAUGCUCUCACCGCUGGCAUUUUGUUAAGCUUCUCUCUCUCUCUCUCAAUGUCGAUUUGGGUAUUAGAAUAUAUCUUAUGUCGAGUUUGGGUAUUAGAGUAUAUCUUAUAUUCAUGUAUACUUUGUUUUGUUUCCAGAUCUGCAAUAGGGUCACAAAAAAAUUCAUGUAUAUUUUUUCCUAUUACCAGAUUUGGGUAAAAGUUUGUGUUAAUUUUUUAUUCUUCUCUCUGUUUGUUUUGUUCUCUCUUUGGUGAUUUUGAGUUUGUUUUAACGAGAAUGUUUGAAUAUUUUAGGAGUAUUUUUAUGGGUUAGAUCCUUGUGCCGUCAUCUUCAUCCAUGGGUAUGUUUUAUUCUCUCUAUUUUUUUGUUCUCUCUUUGGUGAUUUUGAGUUUUUUUUUAAGAGAAGAUUUGAAUGUUUGAGGAGUAUUAGGUUGUUAUAGGUUUUAGAGUUUGGGUGGAAGUCGAAUCUUGGGAUUAAUUUUGGAUUCUGUGGGUUAGGUUUGAAGAGGGAGUGAAAUUGUGAAAGUGAUGGGUUUUGGUGGGAGAGGUUUGAAUGACCAAAUACUUGCUCCUCUUUUCUUCAAAUAGUCCUGUUUUCUUCCAACAGAUCAUUUUUGUAUUCUGGUUGUUAAAUAAAGGUGUAAUAUUAGGGCACUGAGUUGGAGAUUAUUUACAAUCAACAACUGUAAUGUGGACAAGAAGGCCACACUACAUAUUAAUGUAAUGUGGAGAUUAUUUGAAAAACCCUUGUAAUGUCUUUUUCAUAUUAAUAUUACUGAAUAAUUUAGUUCUAAUAGACAAGAGUAGUAGCAUCAGUAUUAUGUAGGACUUGGAUGACAUGAACAUUGAUCAUUAUUGUUGAAGAACUCUUUACAAGGCAUACCUAGAGGAUUUUUAUAGGUUUUGUCGAGUGAGUGUUGAUUCCUAACUAAGAUGUCCCUUCUCUUUAUUGUUGAAGAACUUGUUUAAACUUCAUUUGGGUUUUUAUGGUUUCUCAUGGUUGAUCAUUCCAAUCUUAAAUUACGUGUAAUUAUUUUAUCCUUGACCUCGAUAUCUUUUUGCAGCAUUGGAACUGAGCUCACCCGAGAUGAUUGCAAAAAAUUUUACCAUUAACUUUGGUUUACAAUUGAAGCAGCAGAGGAGAGGAAAUGAAGAUUAUGGAAUAGCACAUGUUGCUAUUUCAUUUUCACAUUUGUAGGUUGAAGAUCAUGAAAUAGCACAUGUUUUUGCUGUUAGCGCAGGCAAUGAUUAUUCAGUGGGAAACAUGAUCGUUAUGUAAUUCAUCUUGUAGUUUUAUAUUUUGUAUUGUAAUGUAAUAUAUAAAGAACAAAAUAAUGUAAGAUGUAGUGGAUUCAUGCAUUUUAGUUUUUCAUUUUUA